GACGAACGCUGGCGGCGUGCUUAACACAUGCAAGUCGAACGAUGAACCCGGAGCUUGCUCCGGUGGAUUAGUGGCGAACGGGUGAGUAACACGUGAGUAACCUGCCCUUGACUCUGGGAUAACUGCGGGAAACUGUAGCUAAUACCGGAUACGACCCUCGGCGGCAUCGCCAGGGGGUGGAAAGAAUUUCGGUCAAGGAUGGACUCGCGGCCUAUCAGCUAGUUGGUGAGGUAACGGCUCACCAAGGCGACGACGGGUAGCCGGCCUGAGAGGGUAAGCGGCCACACUGGGACUGAGACACGGCCCAGACUCCGACGGGAGGAAGCGGUGGGGAAUAUUGCACAAUGGGCGCAAGCCUGGUGCAGCAACGCCGCGUGAGGGAUGACGGCCUUCGGGUUGUAAGCCUCUUUUAGCAGGGAAGAAGCGAAAGUGACGGUACCUGCAGAAAAAGCACCGGCUAACUACGUGCCAGCCGCCGCCGUAA
This 484-nucleotide ribosomal RNA is filed under the name uncultured bacterium. Its description in RNAcentral is "partial 16S ribosomal RNA". It matches the Rfam family "Bacterial small subunit ribosomal RNA", at positions 28 to 523 of the family's 1533-position model. The record is from RNAcentral.